Mugil cephalus (flathead mullet) is the source of this 3147-nucleotide long non-coding RNA. RefSeq lists it as uncharacterized. The transcript is spliced from 3 exons. NCBI's taxonomy places the organism in Eukaryota, Metazoa, Chordata, Actinopteri, Mugiliformes, Mugilidae. The record is from RefSeq and is a predicted model, not a curated record.
ACAUCUUAAACCACACCCAUGAGGAAUAAAAGGGCACUGGCCCCAACCCCCACCAACCACUGGACCCAGACACCGUCCAUACUAUAACUGUCAGCUAACAGAGAUUUACCAUGGAAGGAGGCCAAACGCAGUCCGCUGUCCCAACCUACCUUGGAUGGUCCAUCUUUAACACUCUAUGCUGUUGUCUGCCUCUAGGGAUUGCUGCUAUCGUCUGCUCCUGCAAGGCGCAAAAUGCAAAUCUUGUUGGACAAGCAGCUCUAGCCGAGGAUGCAUCGAGGAAUGCCAAGGUCCUCAACAUCAUCGCACUCGUCUGUGGAAUAAUCCUGCUCAUCAUUUUCAUCGCUUUCAAAGUCAGCGGGAACGUCUGAGGUCGAAGCGGGGGAAGAUGCUGCAUUUCUUUUUUUUUCUUUUUUUUUUACCAGAAGGUGGAUGGAGGGAAACUCUUUUCUUUUCGUGUACUCCCCCUCCUCCACACGCAGGACCACAAAGUUGCAACAGAUGUCUGUACGUGCGCGUUCACAUGUGUUUGUGAUUCUUUUAAUUAGGUUUCCAUAAGAAAAAGAAAAAAAAUGCUUAUGAAAAAUGCUUACUGUGUGUGUCUCAAGUUGCAAACUAUGUAUGUGUUGUCCGAGGAGGCGGUUCUGUUUUGUUAAGUUGCAAAAUAAUAAACUAUGCAACACAAUUGUUUUGUGUGAUGAGUGUUUACAAGAUUCACCAUUCACUUACAAAAGGUCAGGGAACUAUAGUGGACACCAUAAUACUCAUGGACUGGACACAAAAGUGUAUUUUUAGUAUGUAAGUACCCUAUUACGUCUCAUUUCCUGACACAUUAUAUAAGACGAAACUGGACACAUCCAAACAAUGUUAACAACCUUGUGCUGUUUACAUUUAGCGGGCGAGCAAGUCAUGAUGUUCACAAUGUCCUCAUUCUGAGUCACAAUUUGUACAGACUAAAUGCAAUGAGAUCAUAAAGUUUUCAGCUGAACUGCUGCAACUAUUUCCCAUGAACUAAAGUAGGCGAAUGUGGUUGAGAGGCCGUGACCACUAAGUUUCAGUUCGGAGAUGGCUUUAUCUACGUACUGAAACCCCAAACCUUGCACCCCAUUCUGUAUGCGCAGGUGGUUCUAGCGCGGUUGGCAUGCUACCACCCACACUUUCCAAACAAAAACAACAUUGGACGAAGUCAUCCUCGCUGAUUAUUACGAACACUAGAAAGAACAUGCAAAAAUAAAAUACAGGAGGAGGUGGAGGGCCCCUCACCCUGACCAGAGGGUGCUAGAUAGAUAGAUACAUAGAUGUUAUACAACAGGAAAACACAAUAUACUGUAUACAUGAUAUUUAUAGACUUAUACAAAAUAAAUGAAUUGAAAUAAGUGAAUACAAGAAGGAAAAAGAAAUAAUAGCGUUCUUUGAGUCUCUUGGAGAAGGAGCUCUGUUGUCUGGCUAUCAUGUGGUGGAGAGGGUGGUCAGGGUUAUUCGUCAUUGAUAGUUUGUUGAGUGCUACGAAAAGACACUACAUGUAUAAAUAUAAUGUACAAUUCACAAACCAUGCAUGUAUUUUGUGCACAAUUAAUUACGUAUGCCAUGUAUGUUUAUCAAACGGAUGUUACGAGGACGGCCCUGAAAUGGAUUCAGGGUGGCAUGGAAACAGUUCACAGUGGUCGUCCACUUCCUCUAAACUGACGGUGGUUGGUAAAAGGUGUUAAGUGUUUCUCUCUAACUGUCAUUUUAAAGCUUUGCAUACACUUUCUCGCUGGUAUGGAAGCAAAAAAAAAAAAUCUGCCCAGUUGUUCUCUGCUGGUCCUGACCUCCUUUCCCAAAAGCCCAUCAAGAUGUGACAACAGAUAAGUUUAGCUGUGCUCCUUGGGAGGUUUCUCAACCUGCAUGUCUACAGACAAUCAAGAAACACGAGAAACAAAAUUCUUACUUUGCCCAGCAUGCACGUAAUUUGUCAGAUAAUGUAUGACUCCCAAUGACAUUUAACUUGCCAAAUUCUGACUAGCAAGACAAAGUGACAAAGUGAUCUAACCACUGCGAGUUGACCCAGAUUUAGAAGUUCAUGUUCAAGGUUAACCACUAGAGGGUAAGGUUUAGAUGACAAAGCUGAUAGGUGUUUUUGCAUCUGUGUUUUCUGUACUCACAGCUAAGGAUAACAGAAAAAAAAAAAAACAUAUUACAAUAUAUUACAUACCAACUAUUAUCUCCUCAACACUUUUGAGUGAACCUUCUUCUAGGGUGAUCAUCAUGCUGAGAAUAUUUUACUGCCAUGGACUUAAGAACCAAAACUAUUCGAGCAGACGAAAUUUAAUUGAAUGUCAAUUAAAGCACUGAAGGUAAACCACUUCAAAGAACACAGCAAGUUAUUUGACAUGUUUCUGGUUCUAUCUUAAAGGCUUCUUGUAUACACGUCUCACCCAGUCACAAUCAUGGUGGGGGGGACACAAUGCUGUUUGUCAACCACUUAGACCACGCCUAGCAAGAAUAAAAAGGCACAGGUCUCAACAUCCACCGGCUACUGUACCUAGACACCGUCAAACAAAUAAUAACUCGCAUCCACCCGAAGUAAAACAGGCAGACACCAUGGAGGAAGGCCAAACACAGGGUACUGUUCCGACUCACCUCGGCUGGUCCAAAUUCAGCACCGCUUGCUGUUGUAUGCCUCUCGGUCUUGCUGCUAUGUGGUACUCCUACAAGGUAAAAAAUGCUAAUCUUCAAGGACAAACAGCUAUAGCUGAGGAUGCCUCACAGACGGCCAAGGUCCUAAACAUCCUCGCGUUCAUCUGUGGAAUCAUUUGUGUGAUCAUUUUCAUCACUUUCGAAAUCACUGAAAAGCAGCUAUGAAAUGAAGCCAAAGCAGCAGGCAAAAGGCGCAAGAAGAUGGAUGGAUGGAAUCUCAGCGAGGCUUUUUUUUUUGCUCAUGUCACCUAUGUUUGUGCUUGUUUUAGAAAAUGGUUUUUAAAAAUGGUGCUCACAACGUAUGUCACCAAAUGCCAAACUGUAUGUUUUUGUUUUAAAAUGUUGCUUGUUUUGCUGUUGUGCAGAAAAUAAGUUUGUUUUGUGUGAUGACUAAAAGGCAGUAAACUAUGGUGGAUACCAUAAUGUUGCAUUGCUUGAGUUUACGUAGCUGGAUUAAAAUAAUGAAAACAA